RNAcentral lists this unclassified non-coding RNA (240 nucleotides) under uncultured fungus. Its description in RNAcentral is "partial contains 5.8S ribosomal RNA, internal transcribed spacer 2, and large subunit ribosomal RNA". The stretch from base 1 to 52 matches the Rfam family "5.8S ribosomal RNA", at positions 103 to 154 of the family's 154-position model. The record is from RNAcentral. Lineage: Eukaryota; Fungi.
AACGCACAUUGCGCCCGGUGGUAUUCCGCCGGGCAUGCCUGUUCGAGCGUCAUUUAAACCAAUCCAGCUUGCUGGGUCUUGGGCCUUUCGCCUCUGGGCGGGCCCCAAAAUCAGUGGCGGUGCUAUCUAGCUCUAAGCGUAGUAAUUUUUCUCGCUAUGGAUACUAGGUGGUUACCUGCCAGUAACCCUUAUUUUUCAAAGGUUGACCUCGGAUCAGGUAGGGAUACCCGCUGAACUUAA